RNAcentral lists this ribosomal RNA (254 nucleotides) under uncultured bacterium. RNAcentral's name for it is "partial 16S ribosomal RNA". It matches the Rfam family "Bacterial small subunit ribosomal RNA", at positions 524 to 776 of the family's 1533-position model. The record is from RNAcentral.
UACAUGGGGUGCAAACGUUGCUCGGAAUUAUUGGGCGUAAAGCGCACGUAGGCGGUUCGUUAAGUCGGAUGUGAAAGCCCUCGGCUCAACUGAGGAAGUGCACCCGAAACUGGCGAGCUCGAGUACGAAAGAGGAUCGCGGAAUUCCCGGUGUAGAGGUGAAAUUCGUAGAUAGUCGUUUGGAACGCCAACGGUGAAAACAGACAGCUGGGAGUGUGCUGACGCUGAGACACGAAAGCCAGGGGAGCGAACGGG